This 460-nucleotide ribosomal RNA is filed under the name uncultured bacterium. Its description in RNAcentral is "partial 16S ribosomal RNA". It matches the Rfam family "Bacterial small subunit ribosomal RNA", at positions 338 to 795 of the family's 1533-position model. The record is from RNAcentral.
CCUACGGGAGGCUGCAGUGAGGAAUAUUGGUCAAUGGGCGCUAGCCUGAACCAGCCAAGCAGCGUGAAGGAUGACUGCCCUACGGGUUGUAAACUUCUUUUAUAUGGGAAUAAAGUGCAGUAUGUAUACUGCUAUGCAUGUACCUUAUGAAUAAGGAUCGGCUAACUCCGUGCCAGCAGCCGCGGUAAUACGGAGGAUUCGAGCGUUAUCCGGAUUUAUUGGGUUUAAAGGGUGCGUAGGCGGGUUGUUAAGUCAUUUGUGAAAGGUUGCGGCUCAACCGUAAGAUUGCAGUUGAUACUGGCAUCCUUGAGUACAGGAGAGGUAGGCGGAAUUCGUGGUGUAGCGGUGAAAUGCUUAGAUAUCGCGAAGAACUCCGAUUGCGAAGGCAGCCUGCUGGACUUUAACUGACGCUGAGGCUCGAAAGUGUGGGUAUCGAACAGGAUUAGAUACCCGUGUAGUC